GCCCCCUCUCCGCCGCGAGGUGAGUUAGUCUCCUGAGAUCCACCCCCCCCCCCCGCAUGGCCAAGAGUGUCGAACCACGGCGAUCAUCGCUGGCGCGCUCUUCGGUGAGAUACCGCAAGGUAGUCGUGUCCAGGUGUUGCGUCUGCUUUGGCUACAUCCUCAACGUAUACCACAGCCUCGCGGAAUGCCAAGAUGAAGCCAAUUCCCAUGGUUUUCUUCCUCGUGGAGGACUCAUCGCCGGCCGAAUUCAUCGUCGUCGUUCGUCUCUGAUCUCGAACGACCCCGUCGGCCCCCCUAGGUGAGCUGUCGCGUCUCCCCAUCGCCUUCCCCCUCUCGAUUAGGGCCUAGGGACGUCGUUCUCGUCGGACUCAAAAGCCUACCUGCAGAACCUCGUUGGCCACGAGUGAGAUGGACGCGUUGAAGUAUUCCGCGCAUGUGUAUCAAGUUCGCAUUGCAGUGUGGGACCGAUUUCAGCCAGCGGCUCCCCUCGUGAGUCGCCAGAGCGCGUCGAGCCGCUGCUCCCUCCUCAGGUCGCCACCGACAGUAGCGUGUGUGUGCGUCUGUUGACCUCCCCUCUGCUCCGAUGUGUUGCGCCGCGUGAAGGUAGUGUCGUUGGCGCAACCCGUGGCCAUCGUUGUUGUGUGCACCAGCGGGCACCAUGUCGUCGCCUUAGCGCCGCUGGCGUUCUGUUGCCGGCGAGGGCAAGCUGGUACCUUGUGUGUGUACUUGAGGGCUAGCCCGCCUCUCUACCACGAUCCGUGUAGUAGCGCAGUGGCUGCAUGCUGGUUUGAUCCCCCCACCCCCUCGCGGCGAUUUAAACCCCCCUUCCCUUUUUCCUCCAUUGUAUGUAGGGCACUAAUAGUGGGCCUUGGGCCCACUUAUCAUCUCCAGAGUUUCCCAUGUAUCUAUGCGAGUGGGACCCCAUUUCUAUGUAUUUUCUGUGAUGUUUUUCUAUGUUUAGAUCCAUUUAGGUUCCUUUCCAUUUUGGGGUAUGUCCAAAUCGGGACAUGGCCAGAUUUGGUAGGUGCCAUAUUUGGCAUGAUUUAACUUAUAACAAGAGAAGGACAUUUUGUGUAGCUGUUUUGUGUAAUUUUGCCAUAGGAGCAUAUGAGUGUGACAUAUGGAUUUGGGGUAGCAAAAUCCUAGGAAUCCAAUGGUUCCAUUAUUUUGGACAUAAGAGCACAUUUGUGAAAAUGUUGCUUUGUGAUAAGAUGCCAUUUUGUUAUUUUUGCAUUAAUUAAACCUGGCACUAUUUGGUAACUUGUCAACGUCAAUUGGUAGAGUUUUUAGGGUACUUGGCCCUGGUAUUUUUUUUCUUUGCCAUGAUAAGCUUGUGGUUUAGUGGGGUUCUUGUUGUAAACGUGCUAAGAAAAUAUUGUUGUUUUCAUGAGCUCAAAUAAUUUUAAGUGUUGAACUUGUUAAUUUCUUACCAAGUUGUCUUGAUGAUUCCCAUGCAUAUGUUGUACCUUUGUGGUUGGUCAAGUGCCAUAAUUUGUAGUGCUUGUUUCCCUCUCUCAUAUGGUGCCACCACCUUGCCAAAUAGGUUUUGCAUCUUAGAGUUUCUUCCUAUAAAAUAGUCUAUGAUGUUAUAAAUUGUUGUAAAUUAUCUUGGUGAAAUUUGACUAAGUCUGUGAAUCUGCCCUUAUUUUCAUGCCAUGUUUAGGGGAUGCUACCAUGGAUUAUAUGUAGUCUGAGCUCAUGCUUAGUGUGAGUGAUUUGUAGUAGUUGUUGCCCUCUUUAUUCCUGUUAAAUUUCAGGCCAUGAAACGAACUGUAGAGUAGAGUUUUAUUGCUAUCAACAUGCCACCAGGUUAAAACCUGCAAGUGCAAACUGAGGUUUUCACUAAGUCCUAAACUAUGAUAUUUCUUUCCAUGUUGUGAGCUUGAUUACCAUUGUUGCAUGAACCUAUACAUGUUGCUAUUAGUUAGGUAUUAUUUUGCACUUUGAUAGCUUAAUAUUCAUGUCUUGGUUGAACUUGUUGAAUGGCUGUAGGCACUAGUUUCAUUUGAUCAAUGUGGCAUGCGGACAUAUUGGGUGCUAAAUUGUUUUGUGCUUGGUGUGAGUUGUGCUCCUUUGCUUUGCAUGGUCUUUGGGUCUAUUCAACCUGGAAUAUCGUGCCCAAUCCAGUGGCAUAUUUGGAGUGCCAACAAAAUGCCCAUAGCUCCCUCCCAAUGUUGUUUAGUCAUUAUUGACUUUGUACCUUUUUUGUGAAUUCCGAGAGAUCCGUAGCUCGAUUUGCGACGAUCCUUAUAUGUUUUUGCACCAUUUCUCAUGAUGCAUCCAUUCAUGCCAUGUUCAUGCAUGUCCAAAUAAAUAAACUUGAGGUUCUUUCCAGAAUGGUAAACAACCUAAUAAAUGCAUGAGAAAGAUGACUAGUUAGCAUUGCCAUGCUCCUUUCAUAACCACAGUCAUAAAUCAUGUUGGUUGAAGCAUUGCAUCUUGAAGUGUGUCCAUUGGAUGUAUAUUUUUCUUUGGGUAGCAACAGGAGAUGAGAAAAUGUGCGAGGAUUACAUUGAUUAUUUCCCUGAAGAGCCAGAGUUGUACCUCUCAGAAAAACGAAAACGCAAGAUGAUUGUGACGUGAUAUCGUCUCUAAUUUUGUUGUGCCUAGAUGACUCAUUUCCAUCGCUGCCUACCACCUGAAUAUUAAGCCUCCAAACAUUGCCAUGAAAUCCUCUAACCCAUCCACAACCUAGCAAUCAUUGAUUGGCUAAGAUAGCGCUUGCUCAAUCCUCUUAUAACAUUGCUAGUUGCAGGUGCAGACUGAUACAUAUGUUUACAUGGGAUUUGAAUAUCGUCUUAUUACUAAUAUUUAAUUUAAUGCACCUAUAUACUUGGUAAAAGGCGUAAGCCUUGGCUUUUUUCAGAGUGUUUUGUUCCUCUUUUGCCGCCAUAGUUUCGGUUACUGGUGUUAUGUUCCAUAUUGAGCGCUGCUAACAUGCUUGGGCUUGUUAUAGGGACCCCCCUGACAAUUCGCUUUGAGCUAAGGUUCUUCUGGCAAGGAGCAAUAUUGGUACUACAUUUGCUAAACAACUUAAUAAGAAUGCAUAGGGAAUAGCUACCCCGUGCAUAAUUAAUCAACAACCCAGGCCAAUGCUCCUCGUGAGUGUUGGUCGAAACGGGCAAACUGCAGCGCCACCAUGAGGAAACUCGAGGUUUGGUUUUAUACAUAGGCUUUCCCAUAUGGUAGUUCCCUGAGACAGAGACACGCGUGGAUCCUAUGGGCUCUGGCCUGCCAGUCAGUCUUGUUGGUUUGUCUUACUUCUAGCGAAUGUCUUAUACACUGGGAUAUCGGUGAUACUUCGGGCUUUCUCGAGGUUGAGGUUUUCUCUCCACAGGAGCUUGUGGUAGUUUGUGCUAGACUAGUAUUGGAGAACCCCUGCAGGGUUAAUAUAUAUCGGAAAGUUGUGCCCAAGGUUAUGUGGCAACUUGGAAACUUUGUUUAACAACCAAUUCUAGAUAACUUGAAGUAAACUUAACUAAAAUAUGCCAACAACGUGCGUAACCGUGACUAUCUCUUUUGCAGGCUCCUUCUCCGAAUGAGGACACGGUGGGAUUAUGACUGACGUAAGUAGGUGUUCAGGAUCACUUAGUUAUCAUUAUGUAGGUAACAACCAUCAUGCGUAGACCACUAACUUACAUUAUGUUCUCGUAAGUUAGCUACCAUAUAUGCUUAGUGUUGCUGCAACCUCAACACUUACCUCAACACCCAAUAACUUUAUUAGAUCCAGUAUAUGGUCGCAAGAUUGUUGAGUCCCUGUGGCUCACAGAUUACUACGACACCACAGGUCCAAGUACCGUAGAUCCAGAGGUGUUUGACGCUACGUAGGUUCUAUGGGAGUUUGAAGAAGGCAGUGGUCGCAUGUACGUGACAUACCCCGAGGAUUAGAGGACCUUGGUCGUCUCCUAGGCUAGCGAGACAGAGUCAUUGUAGUUUUCCGUUUAUCUUAUCCGUAGCCGGACCUUGUUUUAUGGAUGAUUGAAAUAAUGUUAUGUGGCUUGUAACUGAACUUGUGGCGAGUGUAAGCCAAU
This 4031-nucleotide long non-coding RNA is filed under the name Hordeum vulgare. RNAcentral describes it as "long non-coding RNA (HVUL_LNC004400)". Lineage: Eukaryota; Viridiplantae; Streptophyta; Magnoliopsida; Poales; Poaceae. The record is from RNAcentral.